RNAcentral lists this long non-coding RNA (595 nucleotides) under Prunus dulcis (almond). Its description in RNAcentral is "sRNA ncRNA". Lineage: Eukaryota; Viridiplantae; Streptophyta; Magnoliopsida; Rosales; Rosaceae. The record is from RNAcentral.
GUUAUAAAAUGAACGGGGAUAUGAGCGAAUAUUGAACUGCACGUAAAGUAGAUGAGACACAGCAUUUAACGAGGUUCGGCUAUGCCUACGUCCUCGGAGAGCAGCAACAGUUACAACUCUAGUGUUUACAAUAUGUAUGCUCACCUAAUUUUCUCUCUAGGAGAAUUUCUCUUUGCUCUCUUUCUCUUCACACACUCACCCUCUUUCUUCCUUCCCUUCAUCUUCUCUCAUUUCAUCUCACAUUACAAGCAAAUAGAAUGCCUAUUUAUAGGCAAAGCAAAUGGCUUGGUUUGGUGGGUGUGUGAUUUGGUUUGGUAGGUGUGUGGUUUGGUUUGAUGGGUGUGUGGUUUGAUUUGGUGGGUGUGUGGUUUGAUUUUGUGUUCAACUUGAAUGUUAGAGCAUGUGUUGAACUUGAAUGUUAGUUUGCAAUGUGGGCUUCACCCAUUUUACAACACUCCCCCUUGGAGACCACAUGUCCCUAGAUUGGUUGCCUCAUUAAAACCUUGCUUGGAGAAAACCUAGUGAGGUAGAAAACUGAUGGAAGGAAGAAAGAAGAGUAUAACAAUCUGUAUAGCAUACUUCUGGAUGCUCCCCC